AUAUAUAUAUAUAUAUAUAUAUAUAUGGAACACAAAGGAACUGAACUAAAGAAAGAGACAGGAGGUAAAGCAGCAGAAUGCUCCCUCCUUAGCAAGGCCCGUUUUUCACCGCUCAGUGGCGGGAACAAACUGAGGCCCUCUCGCUCCGUCCGCUCGGAUGGUCUUUCGGCCGCUGAGGUAGGAUCGGGGAGGCAAACGGCCGGUGACACGGAGGGACUCUGCACCCAAGCAAAGCUGCUCUGUUAAUCUCUCAACGUUGCCCGCUCUGCCGCUGAGCUGCGCGUUGAGCGCCUGGGGUUGAUAUACUCAGAAAACCAAUUUCUUACUGAGAGGUUUAAAACACACUAUAUGAUAAGAACUUAAUAAAAGGUUAUCUCUGGAAUUUCCUCUCUAGCCCCAACUGUUAUCUCUGAGACUUCCUCUGUAGCUCAACCGUUAUCAUCGGAAUCUCCUCAGCAAUUUCUAUUGUUAUUAUUUACCUACAAGUGAGAUAAUGUCAUCAUCAUGUAAUUACUUGCCUACGUGAUCUGUAAAGUAUAAAAGUCUGUUGUAAAUGAUGCUCGGGGUUCUGGAAUUUAGGCAAUGGCCGACCAGAACCUUUGCUUCUGCAGAGCAAAUAAUAAAGCCUUUUAAACUUCUCCGCUGGUGAUGUUCUUUGGCUCGCUGACCCAGUAAAAGAACCAUUUGGAUGGUAUAGCAAAUUGGUGCCGUGACUCGGAUCGGGGCCACGUUCCUUACACGAGCGUAGGCAACCCCCACUGGGUGGAGAGGCCCCCGGCGACGGAUAGACUAACCAGCCCAGCCGGCAGCUCACCUUUGUUGAGUAGUGGGCAAAGCUCUACCGUCGCGCCGGGACCUUCCACAACUAGGGGCCAGAAAUCGGAGAACUAAGGCAAAAGAGGGGUUAGAGUCCCCAGAAAGCGCGCUGAGAGGAAGGACGCUGGAUGCUCCAGAGCGGGUAAGUAGACUUAAACAAGAGGGGUUAGAGUCCCCUGGUGUGGGUUAGAGUCCCCAAUUACUAAGCUACCAACCGUUAGCACAAAAGGAAAAGUCAAGUUUUCAAGGCAAAUAAUACAAGGGAUGGAUAAAACCUGAGGCUAUUUUCAAUUUGGUCUUUUGGCAUUUUUUUUCUUUUUCCAAUUUAUAUUUUUGUUUCCCUGUUUGCCUUGGGCUCCCCUUUCCCUGAAGAUCAGAACAGGGGAUGAUGUCUUCAUUUGAGACUUGGUGGCCAAUAGCAAGUACACAAAAUCUGAAUGGAUUUCAUGUACACCUUUGGAGUGUGUGUUGAAAAAUUGGGUGAUUAUCAUGGGAGCAAAGAGUGCUCUUAGAAAACAUGUUUUGAAAUGCCUUUGUAUGAAAGUUUGGCCACUAUGAACUCGAGUCAAAGGCCUCCUGACUCCGAAAAUAACAUCCUUUUGCACUUGCCUCUGUUUUAUAAGUGUUAAGGGAGGAAGAAUGAUUGUCUUUUGCAAAAAUCAUUUCUCUCUCUGUGUUCUGUUUCCAAGUUGCUUCCAAGCUUUGCCCGUGUGUUGCAAACAGUCUGCAAACAGUCUCUGCCACUGUCCUGUUGUAACCAAGCCAAAAGAUAACACUGUUCUAGCUGCAAAAGUUUCUCUGAACAAAAGGCUGCUUUUGUUCUCUCUCUCUCUCUUUUUUUUAUUCUUCUCUUUUCAACUGCUUGAGUUGGAAAAGAGGAAAGAAAAUGGAAGUUGAAGGAAUGCACAUGUUGAAGUUUUAUGCAGAGAAUUGCAGGGGGAAAGGAAGGAAAAAGAAAAAGAAACUAGAAGAGACAUGAGAGGAUUUUGGUUGAAAGGUUGUUAAACAAAAAAGAAAAUUGAAUGAAAGGAACCAGUAAGUUGGAAAAUGUAAGUGUGAUGUGGAAAGGUAAUAUGGGUACAUAUUAUAUACAGAUUGAUAUAAUAUACAGAUUGUUUCUUAGGAUAACUGUGAUAAGGUUGUUCUGUUUAAACUACUUUCUUAACUGAGUUUAUGGCUGACAUAUUUAAAAUGCUAUAAAAUUCUUUGGGAUUCAUAUGAAGUUUUCUUUGUUUAGUCCUUUGUUCUGUGAAAUACACAAGACGAGCCUGUGUGUGUGUGUGUGUGUGUGUGUGUGUGUGUGCAUGUUUCUGAACAGGGAGCCCAAAGCUCUGGUUCUGAUUCAACCCUGCAUCAAUCUUAUAGCUCAUCUCUGUGAAGAUGAGGUUUCAGUUGUAUUUAUUCUGUUUAUUCUGUUGUAUUGUGAAUGUAUUUAUUCUAGUGACAUGUUGUUGUUUUUCUGUAAACUGUUCCAGACCAAACUUGCUCUGACAUUGAAUUCCAAAAUUAGCAGUUAUUAUUUCAUUCAUUCUUCUAUCAAGCUAAUUGUGAUGUGAUAUUUCUGCCACUACUGAGUAUCAUAAGCCUUUAUAUGUUAUGUUUACUGAUUUCCUUGACAAUGGUCUAUCUUAUCUUACCUAUUUCUGUGAACUCAAGAGGUUCUCUGAAAAGCAGUUUGCAGGUUCUCUGAAAAGCCAGUUAAUUGUGGGUGAGAAGGAAAAAUGGAUUUUAAGAUAAAUUAGUCUAAUUGUAUUAGUGUAAUGUUUUUGCAAAAUCUAUGCAAUAUUUCUGCUAGCUGAAAUUGAUGUAAACUGAGAGCUACCAAUGGUCUAAGGUUUAAAUUUUAAAAUUUGACUCAUCCACCAGCCCUACUUUGCCUUCACAGCAGCUGAAUCUAAAAAUUCCAGAUCCCAGAUAUGCAAUUUGAUGAAAGGAAUUUUGUUUUGCCACUCCUGCAAGUGGAAGGGAGUUCCAAAGUACCAAUUUGCAUUUUACCUAGAAGACUUCCCAGUUUGACAGGAUCAAGCUUUGUGUGUUACUGUGAAACCCAUACCCUGUUUUCACAGCUCCUGAUGAGAGACUUGACUUUAUUAUCACAAGUUUUACCCCUCUGCAAGAUUAUGGACAAUUUUUACCUUUUACUAAAGAGGCCUGUGAAAAAGGGACACUUUAAUUUGCUUCAUGAGACAUUAGGCCCCGUCCAGAAGUCCUAUGUCAUCAAGGUAUAGUAUUCUGCCUGGGGGCAUGGACUGUUUCCUUCUUAUACAGGUUCCCCCCCCCCAAGAGGAUAUUGUUACCCUACAAAGAUGUCAAACCCCAAACCCUUACUCAUCGGUUCUUCCCAGCUAAAAGGGGAUUAGUCUGGGGCAAUAGAUGGCUGACCUCCUACUCCCCCACACAUGACCAAAUAUCAUGUGACUUUGGUGAGGAAUCCUGGGGUUUCCAUGGCUACUACUUUUGUUCUUAAUCCAGCUAACUUACUUCCUUUUGAGUCUACAGAAGACCAAGAACAUGAUUGCUUGCAAGCUGUGGACUGCAUCUAUGCCAAGCCAUCCUGAUCUUAAAGAUGAAUUGUACACAGAUGGAGGCAGCUUCAUGUAAGAUGGACAACGUAAGCUGGCCAUGGAGAAGCGACUGACCAUGCUCUUUCUCCAGGUAUCUCAGCACAGCUUGCAGAGCUCAUCACCUUCAAGGUAAUUUUUACACAACUCAUGGAGCCACUUGGAAAGAAAGAAGAUUUUUAACAGUGGGAAACAAGGAAGUAAAAUAUGGGACACAGAUAUCAGAACUCUAGACUGCUGUUACACUACUAGAAGAGGUUGCAGUCAUCCAUACCAGAGGUCACCAGAGGAAAAUGACCCAGUGACAAAGGUAAACAGGUUUGCAACCAACAGUGCCUUGAAUUGUCUUUCCAAGAAUAAUUGGUCCUCCCUAGAUUGAAGGAAUACCUGGAUCCAUUGCCAGAACGUGAUCCCAAGGGAGUCUCCACACUGACCCAGGAAAACUAACCAUCAGCAGCAGCAGCAGCUACCCGAGAGCAGUCCCUAUCUGCAUUUCCAGUCCAACCCAAUGGUGACAGGACGUUCAUCUGCUACCCUGUCCUGUGUUCAAAGAAGAGGGCCUAAUGCACAGUUCAUCUUCCUGCUCCUAAGUGCUGUAGGAGAGGAAUAGACAACAAACAAGCAAGCCAAUUUGUUCACUUUUCUCUGGAGUCAUACAUGCAACAGCAUUUCCCCAAGCUGUGAAGCCCUGGAACCAUCCUACCUGGGUAAGAUACCUCGCCGAGGACACUAUUUCAAAUUCUGCCAAAGACACUAUUUCAGAUUUCCCACAAGGGGAGGGAGUCAAGGCUCCCAAACACAUGAACAUUUGAGCUUGUCUGUGGACACUAGCCAAACAAGCCAAAACAACACUGAUCAGGACAGCCAAAAUCCUGCAACAUUUUACAAGAGCAUUUGGUUCUCAACUGAAGGACUAAAAUAUAUUUUUCCUUACCAAGGACUUUUAGAUCAUGAAUUCUAAAGCUCUCCAUGGCUUCCUUUUUGGCCAUGACAGACUUUAGAGGACACUAAGGGGGGUGGGAGUUGAUGAUUUGCACCACUUUCUUAUAUUACUUUCUUGUAGUGACUAUGUGCUAUCAUUAUGUUGAAAACCUUGCUAUCUCCUGUGCUGUAAGGACAUGGACCUCACUUGUUUCACUUACAUAUUGUGCCAAUCAUCUCAUUGUUUCAACCAGAGCAUUUACCUGCAAGUCUGCACCUAUCCCCAAGUUACUGGUCCCUUUUGUGUUCUAAGACAUUAAGCUAGCCCAAGCUUUACCUGCUAAUUUUAUAGACACUUGCAUUUAAUCAAUGACAUGGCUUGUCAUUGCUAUCGCUUUCCACAAGGUGAUAACCCAUUAAUUGCCAGAAGCACCUGGUUCCACAUUGCUAGGCUGUUAUUUAUACUUUAUUUGGGAUAAAGAUGGUUUAAAAUAAUGUUGCCUGCUAUAAGUUGUAUGAUCUUUAUAUGUACGCUUUGCUGUUAUGUGUAAAACUUUAUAUAUAUAUAUCAAAUCAUGCCAGAUAUGGGUGGUUAAAGAUAUGUGUGUGUGAUGUAUAGAAUUAUAUAAUUAUGUUUGUAGCUCUAGAAUAUUGUAUGCAAUGUGCCUGCCAUAGCACAUACCAUUUCUUUAAAAACUAUGCUUAAUGCAUCACAAAUGUUUAAGGCAUCCCAAAACCACAUAUGUUCCAAACCCUUUAGCCACACGAAACACAAAGUUCCAUCAAUGGGCAAGAACUAUAUUCCAAGAUUAAGAGUUUGUGUGUUAGAAAGAGCUACUGUUAAUAUUUUCAAACAGUUAGAACUUUCAUUUAACUAAUAUGGAAAGCCUAUUGAUUUAUGGGCAAAGAAGAUAAUUCUGGUUGUAUUUUCUUUGUAUUAAUAAUCACAUGUUGCUGCUUACAAUGCAUUACAGCUUUAAACCAAAUGUUUAUGAGAACCUUUAAACCUUGCCAUAGUAUAAGACCCAUACAUACAGCUGUACCUUUACAAACUUUAAUUAAGACAUCCUGAAGAUUCAGGAUGAUCCAAUUGUUUCAGGGGGGAAUUGAUGUGUUUGAGUAAACCAAAGUAACUCCAUUCUACAUAGAAUACCAAAGCAUCUCCAAAUUUGCUUAGAAAACCUAAUUCUAACUUAAAGUAACCCCAGCCAAGCUCAGAGACAUCACAGCCAAUGUCAUUAUCUCCACUAAAAUGUAUCUAUGAAACUUGGUUCUCACAAGAUUCUCAUUGUUCUUUGCUGACAAGUUAAUAAAACAGGAUGUAACCAAAUAAGGAGUGAUCACCAGAUGAACAAUGAAUCAUUUGCAUGCGUACUAGAUACUUAGUCCACCAUUUUACUGCCACGUAUACUAUGUCAGCAUUAUUCAGAUUGUCUGUAUAAAUGUAAGAUGCACCUAUAACCAAUUUGUAUUCAAUGCAAUGCGUGAGCUACAUUGUCUACCUUGCUAUCGCGAAGCAAUAAACCAAGUCUCUAAUUGA
Hemicordylus capensis (graceful crag lizard) is the source of this 5838-nucleotide long non-coding RNA. RefSeq lists it as uncharacterized. Lineage: Eukaryota; Metazoa; Chordata; Lepidosauria; Squamata; Cordylidae. The transcript is spliced from 2 exons. The record is from RefSeq and is a predicted model, not a curated record.